RNAcentral lists this ribosomal RNA (814 nucleotides) under uncultured Chloroflexota bacterium. RNAcentral's name for it is "bacterial SSU rRNA". It matches the Rfam family "Bacterial small subunit ribosomal RNA", at positions 8 to 832 of the family's 1533-position model. The record is from RNAcentral. Lineage: Bacteria; Bacillati; Chloroflexota.
AGAGUUUGAUUAUGGCUCAGGAUGAACGCUGGCGGCGUGCCUAAUACAUGCAAGUCGAACGAGGUGCUUUUGUAGCAAUAUGAAGGUAUCCUAGUGGCGAACGGGUGAGUAACGCGUGGGUGACCUGCCCCGAAGUGUGGGAUAACAGUCCGAAAGGACUGCUAAUACCGCAUGCGGCCAUCGGGCUUAGAAGCCGAUGUCCAAAGCAGCAAUGCGCUUUGGGAGGGACCUGCGUCCCAUCAGCUAGUUGGUAGGGUAACGGCCUACCAAGGCGACGACGGGUAGGGGACCUGAGAGGGUGACCCCCCACAAUGGAACUGAAACACGGUCCAUACACCUACGGGUGGCAGCAGUAGGGAAUAUUGCACAAUGGGCGAAAGCCUGAUGCAGCAACGCCGCGUGCACGAUGAAGGUCUUCGGAUCGUAAAGUGCUUUUCUGGGAGAUGAGAAAGGACAGUAUCCCAGGAAUAAGUCUCGGCUAACUACGUGCCAGCAGCCGCGGUAAAACGUGGGAGGCGAGCGUUAUCCGGAUUCACUGGGCGUAAAGCGCGUGCAGGCGGUUCGGUUAGUUGGGCGUGAAAGCUCCUGGCUUAACUAGGAGAGGCCGUCCAAUACUGCCGAACUAGAGAACAGUAGAGGAAGAUGGAAUUCCCGGUGUAGUGGUGAAAUGCGUAGAUAUCGGGAGGAACACCAGUGGCGAAGGCGAUCUUCUGGACUGUUUCUGACGCUCAGACGCGAAAGCUAGGGUAGUAAACGGGAUUAGAGACCCCGGUAAUCCUAGCCGUAAACGAUGUGAACUUGGCGUCGGUGGCGU